This 301-nucleotide ribosomal RNA is filed under the name uncultured bacterium. RNAcentral describes it as "partial 16S ribosomal RNA". It matches the Rfam family "Bacterial small subunit ribosomal RNA", at positions 509 to 807 of the family's 1533-position model. The record is from RNAcentral.
CAGUAGCCGCGGUAAAACGUAGGGUGCAAGCGUUAAUCGGAAUUACUGGGCGUAAAGCGUGCGUAGGCGGUUUGUUAAGUCUGCUGUGAAAUCCCCGGGCUCAACCUGGGAAUGGCAGUGGAUACUGGCAAGCUAGAGUGUGUCAGAGGAUGGUGGAAUUCCCGGUGUAGCGGUGAAAUGCGUAGAGAUCGGGAGGAACAUCAGUGGCGAAGGCGGCCAUCUGGGACAACACUGACGCUGAGGCACGAAAGCGUGGGGAGCAAACAGGAUUAGAUACCCCCGUAGUCCCUGUCUCUUAUAC